RNAcentral lists this long non-coding RNA (3597 nucleotides) under Struthio camelus australis. RNAcentral's name for it is "lncRNA (ENSSCUG00000013992.1)". The record is from RNAcentral. Lineage: Eukaryota; Metazoa; Chordata; Aves; Struthioniformes; Struthionidae.
UGGGUUCAGGCUUCCUGGGCAGACUUUAUUUUUAGCUAGGAGUGGCAUUUUUCCCUCUGGAAGCUUUCCCUGCUUCACAUCAUGCCGUGAAAGCUGCUUGCUGGCAUUACGCUUCCUCCUCCUCGCUACUAUGUUCCCUCUGCUGACUUUCUAGCCUUCAAAACAUCAGUUUUCUGAUUAAAUUAUCAUGCUGCCCACAGCGAGAGAGAAAAAUGACUCGGUGCAUAGCGUCGUAGGCUGCCGCCGGGGGCCGCAGAGCUGUGCCCGGCUCCGCGCUGCAGCUUUGCACCGCCGCCGAGCUCGCCCGGGGGCAGCUGAGCGUCAAGAGCACCCACGGGACCUCUCCGCGCUGAGCCGGGCCAUGCACCAGUUGGGUACGCUGAGGAGAGGCAAAGUUGGAUGCUGGGGCAGUGGCACCAGGAGGAAACGUAGCAGCAGAGGAAGAAGAUGCUUGCUUUAAGAUCAUGACCUCCAUUCCAGUGUCAUUUCACACCUCAGGCAGUGAUCUUGUUACAUCUCAUAAGCUAAGCAAGGUCACGCCUGGUCAGGCUAAGUGCUUGAAUAAGAAACUUCUAAGGAAAAACUCAGGCGCUGUGGAAAGUGGGGCUGCUGACUGGGUAGGUGACAUUAUUCCCUUGGAGUCAGUACAAAAGAAGUGCCCUGGCAUGCUCUGUUAAGAAGCCUCUGUGCAUCUUUCUGUGAACCUGCUCUGUGCUUAUCCCUACUCUGUCUGCUAAAGGGACUGCCGUUCAGGUGAGUCAGACCCAGACAGUAAAACGGCUGUAGUUACUAAAAAUAUUUCUUCCCCGUUCUCCUCAGAGUAGAAGUGCUAGCCCCAGUGUCCUGCCCAGUCUCCAGUUUGGGUGAUUACAUUUGUCUUCACCAGCUUCCUCCUUGAAGUUUUGAUAUGAGAGGUUACUCUUUGCUUUACCCUCCUUUUCAAGCCAUCCUGAGUAUUGUUGCUGGCAUAAUCCAUCCCAAAGCACCGUACAUUUUAGGAGGAGGCAAACUAUACACAAGGGUUCAGUGAGAGACCCAGGUAUUUUGAAAGAGUGCUUAUGCAAAAAAGGAAAGUACUGAAAAACCAAGAGAUGCUGAAGUGAAAACCCACCCUGCACUCCCGGCUCUCCUGCCCUUUUCUCUUGUGUUUCACAAUCACAGAUUGACUUCUUGGAGAAUCUUCACCUCACCCAGUGCACAAAAUGAAUGGGUCACACACAUGCGGCAGCUGCUCUGUCCUUAUCUUUUAUUUCCACUGUCUGGCAAGAGAAGGAGCGUUAUAUAAAACUGGAAGGAUACACUAGAUGAACGUGCUGCCAUUCAGAGGCAUCUUGUCAGCCUGGAGAAGUGGGCCAACAGGAAUCUCAUGAAGUUUGACAAAGGAAAAUGCAAAGUCCUGCACCUGGAGAGGAAUAACCCCAUGCAUCAGUACAGGCUGGGGCCUGAUGGACUGGAGAGCAGCUUUGCAGAAAAGGACCUGGGGGUCAGUGUCCUAGCGGACAAUAAGUUGGACAUGAUGCAGCAAUGUGCCCCUGCAGCAGAGUGUUCCCAGCAGGGAGGCGGGAGAAGAUCCUUCCCCUCUGCUCAGCACUGGUGAGGCCAUAUCUGGAGCACUGGGUCCAGUGCUAGGCUCCCCAGUGCAAGGGAGACCUGGGGCUCCUGGAGCGAGUCCAGUGAAGGGCCAUGAAGAUGAUUCAGGGACUGCAGCAUCUGUCAUAGGAGGAGAAGCUGAGAGAGCUGGGACUGUUUAACCUAGAAAAGAGGAGGCUCAGAAGGGAUCUUACCUAUGUGUGUAAAUACAUGAUGAGUAGGAAGUAAAAAAAAACAAAACCAGACUCUUCUCAGUGGUGCUCAAUGACAGGACAAGAGACAAUGUGCAUGAAUGCAGGAAAUUCCAUUAAAGAUUAAAAAAAAAGCUUUUUUACAGUAAGGAUGGUCAAACUCUGGAACAGGUUGCCAAGAGAGGUUGUGGAGUCUCCAUCCUUGGAGAUAUUCAAACCUGAAUGAACAUGGCCUUGAACAACCCGCUCUACUGUCUCUGCUCUAAGCAGGAGGCUUAGGUUAAAUGAUCUUCAGAGGUGCCUUCCAGCCUCAGUGACUGUGUGAGUUUGAUUCUGUUCCUGUCCUCACAUCCUUGCAGAAGAUUUGUCCAUGAUCUCCAAUGCACAAAGUCAAGGAGCAAUUGCCUCAAUUGGUUUUGCUUCAGAUUUGCAGCAUGGUGUAACCAGCUGCAGCUACAAUGUACCACGUUUACGGCCUAUGAAGACCUAAGCUACCCAUGCUCCCCGGGCAGCGCUGAGGAUGUGCCAGGCUUGAGGAAAAGCUCUGUAGGGAAGAGCAUGAAGCAAUUGCGCGCCCAUGUGUGGGGAGCACAUGAUGCCAGGGCCAACAUCACAGCUCCUUCUACCAUACAAGUGUUCUGCUCUGAAAGUGGAUAUUCUUUUGCUGUAUUUUUGGGCAGAAGCGUGAGGUUUUUGACAAGAGAGAAGGCCAAUUCUGUAAUGUACUUUGCACAUUGGAUGAGGUGCAGGACUUGCAGCUUUGGAAAGUGAAUGAAAUAAGGCAAAGCUCGUACGGAGUAUCUGUUCUUUCUUGAUGUUGAGGCAAGGAUGACUCUACAGGCUCAAGGUGCAUAAUAUUUGAGAGCAAUAGCAUGAUUUUAUUAAGAUAUUGGGAAUCUUUUUCUGAAGAAGACAAAGCAGAGCUUAGAAAUGGUCCUGACAGGAAAAAAAGAUUCAGUGAAGCAAUAAGUUAAAACAGGAUAACCCACAAAAUCUUAAACAUUCUCCCCAAGCCCACAUCUCGAACUAUAACUAUGCUCUAAAGUAUGCAGAUACAUGUUACAAUGUUUAAAGAGAUGCUUGAGACUAAUCUGAUGCUUAAUCAAAGCUAUGCUACUAGCCUUACUAGUGCAGUCUAGAUUUUAAUGCUGCAUUUCAUGCUUGAAACUGUUUUGCUUAAUAGCUGAAUUCUUAAUUUUACAAAGAGGAAGAAGGCUCCGCUCCCCAUUUCUUAGUUGCAAAAGUAACAGUGAGACUAACGCUCAGGUAGAAACUAGCAAAAUCCUGAGGACAAACCAGUUCAGACCAACAAAAUACACAACAGCCAGAAAAGUUUUUCUUGGUCUUCAGAUUAAGGGCAAGAUCCUGCCGCUGACUGCAAGGAAGCCCUUCAGAAGAGAGCAGCGCGUUGGCAUCACAGCACAGUGAUUCCAUCACCUUUUUGCCUUGUAAUUGUACACUUGUACAUGGGAGUGAGUGCCUGUAUUUGUUAGUGAUGAAUUUACAGGUAUGGUUGGAGUUUAAAUUCAUUUCAGGCGUUCUGUCUUAUCAGACUGCAGCCUGUCAUUUAUGAAUGCUGCACACCACACUGUUCUCUCACAGAGAAAAUAUCUCUGUUGGGGUUUUUAUUAAAAAAAAAAAGAAUAACACACCUCCAUUUGGUCAGAAAGUUCUUUCAAACACAGCACAGACAAGAAUGUUGCUCUUAUGAACCUAAAGUUUAAAAUCUUUGACUGCAUUACUUCAUUUCAGAAUUAGUUUUAGCUUGUUGUCUAAAGGCUGCAUCCUUGGCAAAAUAAACAAACAAACACAAACA